RNAcentral lists this ribosomal RNA (682 nucleotides) under Rhizobium sp. M29T22. RNAcentral's name for it is "bacterial SSU rRNA". It matches the Rfam family "Bacterial small subunit ribosomal RNA", at positions 56 to 787 of the family's 1533-position model. Lineage: Bacteria; Pseudomonadati; Pseudomonadota; Alphaproteobacteria; Hyphomicrobiales; Rhizobiaceae. The record is from RNAcentral.
UGCAGUCGAGCGCCCCGCAAGGGGAGCGGCAGACGGGUGAGUAACGCGUGGGAAUCUACCCUUUUCUACGGAAUAACGCAGGGAAACUUGUGCUAAUACCGUAUGUGUCCUUCGGGAGAAAGAUUUAUCGGGAAAGGAUGAGCCCGCGUUGGAUUAGCUAGUUGGUGGGGUAAAGGCCUACCAAGGCGACGAUCCAUAGCUGGUCUGAGAGGAUGAUCAGCCACAUUGGGACUGAGACACGGCCCAAACUCCUACGGGAGGCAGCAGUGGGGAAUAUUGGACAAUGGGCGCAAGCCUGAUCCAGCCAUGCCGCGUGAGUGAUGAAGGCCCUAGGGUUGUAAAGCUCUUUCACCGGAGAAGAUAAUGACGGUAUCCGGAGAAGAAGCCCCGGCUAACUUCGUGCCAGCAGCCGCGGUAAUACGAAGGGGGCUAGCGUUGUUCGGAAUUACUGGGCGUAAAGCGCACGUAGGCGGAUCGAUCAGUCAGGGGUGAAAUCCCAGGGCUCAACCCUGGAACUGCCUUUGAUACUGUCGAUCUGGAGUAUGGAAGAGGUGAGUGGAAUUCCGAGUGUAGAGGUGAAAUUCGUAGAUAUUCGGAGGAACACCAGUGGCGAAGGCGGCUCACUGGUCCAUUACUGACGCUGAGGUGCGAAAGCGUGGGGAGCAAACAGGAUUAGAUACCC